Molecule: non-coding RNA, 661 nt
Organism: Microcebus murinus (gray mouse lemur)
Lineage: Eukaryota; Metazoa; Chordata; Mammalia; Primates; Cheirogaleidae
Source: RefSeq, a predicted model, not a curated record
GGCGGUUGGGCCCGCCCACCUGGCCCGCGGGGCGCUGACCCACUGCCCUCGGCGCCUCCCCCGCUCCUCCUCCUCGUGGUUCGUUCCGCUGCGCACUCCGGGCUACGGAAGGCGCGUCCAUGUGACCGGGGAGGCGGGGCAGGACGUGGCCCGGGAGUCGCUCGCCCACGCUGCGCCCCGCCCAUUCGCACCUGGGCUGGGGCAAGGACCUGCGGCCGCUGAGUGACCCGCAAGGUCGAAGGACCUUUUCCUGCUCCCAGAGGCUUGGGGCCAGAUCCUGAUGGGACAGGGCGGCUCCCGAGUCCUGUGCUCGGGGAUUUCCAACUCAGAGUGGAAACCCGGGCAGCUUAGUUCUUUGCUGCCCUUCCUGGAAGUCCCAAAUAAAUGGCGUGUGCAUCUUCGCGAAAGAUGGGGCAGCUUCGGCCUGGAGAGGAGGGAUCUGCCCAUGGCGGUCCUGAGAAUCAGCUGCGGACUCCAGGCCACUACGGUCCAUCGUGCCUCAGUAUCCGUGAGGGAUUGGUUGGUUCCAGGACACCCCCACACACCCCAGGAGACUGAAAUCUGCGGAUGCUCAAGUCCCUGUUAUAAAAUGGUGUAGUAUGUGCAUAUAACCUAUGCAUAUCCUUCUGUAUACUAUAAAUCAUCUCUCUAUACAAACUUA